Molecule: ribosomal RNA, 1335 nt
Filed under: Klebsiella pneumoniae
Lineage: Bacteria; Pseudomonadati; Pseudomonadota; Gammaproteobacteria; Enterobacterales; Enterobacteriaceae
Also listed under: 7 other names
Description: bacterial LSU rRNA
Rfam family: Bacterial large subunit ribosomal RNA
Source: RNAcentral
CACUAUCGUUAACUGAAUACAUAGGUUAACGAGGCGAACCGGGGGAACUGAAACAUCUAAGUACCCCGAGGAAAAGAAAUCAACCGAGAUUCCCCCAGUAGCGGCGAGCGAACGGGGAGCAGCCCAGAGUCUGAAUCAGCUUGUGUGUUAGUGGAACGGUCUGGAAAGUCCGACGGUACAGGGUGAUAGUCCCGUACACCAAAAUGCACAGGCUGUGAACUCGAAGAGUAGGGCGGGACACGUGGUAUCCUGUCUGAAUAUGGGGGGACCAUCCUCCAAGGCUAAAUACUCCUGACUGACCGAUAGUGAACCAGUACCGUGAGGGAAAGGCGAAAAGAACCCCGGCGAGGGGAGUGAAAAAGAACCUGAAACCGUGUACGUACAAGCAGUGGGAGCACCUUCGGGUGUGACUGCGUACCUUUUGUAUAAUGGGUCAGCGACUUAUAUUCUGUAGCAAGGUUAACCGUAUAGGGGAGCCGCAGGGAAACCGAGUCUUAACUGGGCGUUAAGUUGCAGGGUAUAGACCCGAAACCCGGUGAUCUAGCCAUGGGCAGGUUGAAGGUUGGGUAACACUAACUGGAGGACCGAACCGACUAAUGUUGAAAAAUUAGCGGAUGACUUGUGGCUGGGGGUGAAAGGCCAAUCAAACCGGGAGAUAGCUGGUUCUCCCCGAAAGCUAUUUAGGUAGCGCCUCGUGAACUCAUCUUCGGGGGUAGAGCACUGUUUCGGCUAGGGGGUCAUCCCGACUUACCAACCCGAUGCAAACUACGAAUACCGAAGAAUGUUAUCACGGGAGACACACGGCGGGUGCUAACGUCCGUCGUGAAGAGGGAAACAACCCAGACCGCCAGCUAAGGUCCCAAAGUCAUGGUUAAGUGGGAAACGAUGUGGGAAGGCACAGACAGCCAGGAUGUUGGCUUAGAAGCAGCCAUCAUUUAAAGAAAGCGUAAUAGCUCACUGGUCGAGUCGGCCUGCGCGGAAGAUGUAACGGGGCUAAACCAUGCACCGAAGCUGCGGCAGCGACACUAUGUGUUGUUGGGUAGGGGAGCGUUCUGUAAGCCUGCGAAGGUGACCUGUGAGGGUUGCUGGAGGUAUCAGAAGUGCGAAUGCUGACAUAAGUAACGAUAAAGCGGGUGAAAAGCCCGCUCGCCGGAAGACCAAGGGUUCCUGUCCAACGUUAAUCGGGGCAGGGUGAGUCGACCCCUAAGGCGAGGCCGAAAGGCGUAGUCGAUGGGAAACAGGUUAAUAUUCCUGUACUUGGUGUUACUGCGAAGGGGGGACGGAGAAGGCUAUGUUAGCCGGGCGACGGUUGUCCCGGUUUAAGCAUGUAGGCUG